Molecule: transfer RNA, 84 nt
Filed under: Selaginella moellendorffii
Lineage: Eukaryota; Viridiplantae; Streptophyta; Lycopodiopsida; Selaginellales; Selaginellaceae
Description: tRNA tRNA-Leu
Rfam family: tRNA
About the family: Transfer RNA (tRNA) molecules are approximately 80 nucleotides in length. Their secondary structure includes four short double-helical elements and three loops (D, anti-codon, and T loops).
Source: Rfam by way of RNAcentral
GUCAGGAUGGCCGAGUGGUCUAAGGCGGCAGACUCAAGUUCUGCUCCUCUCGCGAGGGCGUGGGUUCAAAUCCCACUUCUGACA